AUUUUAUGUUUGAUUGCUUUAAUUUAAUUUUAUUUUUAUGUUUUAAUUUUAUUUAUUU
RNAcentral lists this non-coding RNA (58 nucleotides) under Wallaceina sp. Wsd. Lineage: Eukaryota; Euglenozoa; Kinetoplastea; Trypanosomatida; Trypanosomatidae. The record is from RNAcentral.